GCACUGUUGAAUAGUCCCACAAUAGGACGAAACGACCGUCCAGUGC
This 46-nucleotide non-coding RNA is filed under the name Schistosoma mansoni. Lineage: Eukaryota; Metazoa; Platyhelminthes; Trematoda; Strigeidida; Schistosomatidae. The record is from RNAcentral.